Molecule: long non-coding RNA, 451 nt
Organism: Macadamia integrifolia
Lineage: Eukaryota; Viridiplantae; Streptophyta; Magnoliopsida; Proteales; Proteaceae
Exons: 2
Source: RefSeq, a predicted model, not a curated record
AUUGGAACAAUGUUCUGGGAUGACAAAUAUGGAUCCCAAGGGCCAUCUCCAGAUGGGGCCAAAUUCCAGCAUUUCUUUAUCUCCAGACAAGCUAUCUAGAUCGUUUCUUGACAUCUGCCUCUGCAAUAUUGAUCCACCCCUUCUUUUAUGCCAAGAACUAUGAGUUCCAUUUACUGUCACAACACACAGAUUAAGAUACUCAUCACCAUUCGUUUUCCUCAUAGUCAUACAUGUAAAAAAAUUUUAGUACUGUAAUUUAUUACUCUUUCCUUUCCCCUACCCAAUGGGUGAGCCUCUGCUGAUGGCAAUGCCGAAGGUGGGGAGUCUCUCUAUCCUUCUGUUUUUGUUUCCAUCAUGUUCUGUCCUGAUGGCUUUUCAUUUGUUUGUUCUCCAUUGUAAUUGUGCAUUGUGGGUUGAUUGUUGUAAUGAAGAACAUGAUUUCGGAAUUUUU